Molecule: ribosomal RNA, 253 nt
Filed under: uncultured bacterium
Lineage: Bacteria
Description: partial 16S ribosomal RNA
Rfam family: Bacterial small subunit ribosomal RNA
Source: RNAcentral
UACGUAGGGUGCAAGCGUUAAUCGGAAUUACUGGGCGUAAAGCGUGCGCAGGCGGUUUUGUAAGUCUGUCGUGAAAUCCCCGGGCUUAACCUGGGAACUGCAUUUGUGACUGCAUGGCUAGAGUGCGGCAGAGGGGGAUGGAAUUCCGCGUGUAGCAGUGAAAUGCGUAGAUAUGCGGAGGAACACCGAUGGCGAAGGCAAUCCCCUGGGCCUGCACUGACGCUCAUGCACGAAAGCGUGGGGAGCAAACAGG